This 296-nucleotide ribosomal RNA is filed under the name Lycengraulis sp. RNAcentral's name for it is "partial small subunit ribosomal RNA". It matches the Rfam family "Bacterial small subunit ribosomal RNA", at positions 1050 to 1496 of the family's 1533-position model. The record is from RNAcentral. Lineage: Eukaryota; Metazoa; Chordata; Actinopteri; Clupeiformes; Engraulidae.
CGUCGCCAGCUUACCCUGUGAAGGGAAGUAAGCAAAACGAAAAAUUUCCAAAACGUCAGGUCGAGGUGUAGCACACGGAGUGGGAAGAAAUGGGCUACAUUGCCUGAUUUAGGCUACUACGGAGAGUCGCCUGAAAAGACUAUUUAAAGGUGGAUUUAGCAGUAAAAGGGGAAUAGAGUGCCCUUUUGAAGCCGGCUCUGAGGCGCGCACACACCGCCCGUCACUCUCCCCGAUAAUUUAAAAUUAUUAGUACUUUAACCCGAGAAGCCAAAAAGGGGAGGCAAGUCGUAACAUGG